GACGAACGCUGGCGGCGUGCUUAACACAUGCAAGUCGAACGGUAAGGCCCUUCGGGGUACACGAGUGGCGAACGGGUGAGUAACACGUGGGUGAUCUGCCCUGCACUUCGGGAUAAGCCUGGGAAACUGGGUCUAAUACCGGAUAGGACCACUGCCUGCAUGGGUGGUGGUGGAAAGCCUUUGCGGUGUGGGAUGGGCCCGCGGCCUAUCAGCUUGUUGGUGGGGUGAUGGCCUACCAAGGCGACGACGGGUAGCCGGCCUGAGAGGGUGACCGGCCACACUGGGACUGAGAGACGGCCCAGACUCCUACGGGAGGCAGCAGUGGGGAAUGUUGCACAAUGGGCGCAAGCCUGAUGCAGCGACGCCGCGUGAGGGUUGACGGCCUUCGGGUUGUAAACCUCUUUCAGCACCGACGAAGCGCAAGUGACGGUAGGUGCAGAAGAAGGACCGGCCAACUACGUGCCAGCAGCCGCGGUAA
RNAcentral lists this ribosomal RNA (478 nucleotides) under uncultured bacterium. Its description in RNAcentral is "partial 16S ribosomal RNA". It matches the Rfam family "Bacterial small subunit ribosomal RNA", at positions 28 to 523 of the family's 1533-position model. The record is from RNAcentral.